Molecule: unclassified non-coding RNA, 352 nt
Filed under: soil metagenome
Description: partial contains 5.8S ribosomal RNA, internal transcribed spacer 2, and large subunit ribosomal RNA
Rfam family: 5.8S ribosomal RNA (bases 1-120)
Source: RNAcentral
GAUGAAGAACGCAGCGAAAUGCGAUAAGUAAUGUGAAUUGCAGAAUUCAGUGAAUCAUCGAAUCUUUGAACGCACAUUGCGCCCGCCAGUAUUCUGGCGGGCAUGCCUGUUCGAGCGUCAUUACAACCCUCAGUCCCCCGGGCCUGGCGUUGGGGAUCGGCGGAGCCCCCCGUGGGCACACGCCGUCCCCCAAAUGCAGUGGCGGUCCCGCCGCAGCUUCCAUCGCGUAGUAGCUAACACCUCGCGACUGGAGAGCGGCGCGGCCACGCCGUAAAACACCCAACUCUUCUGAAGUUGACCUCGAAUCAGGUAGGAAUACCCGCUGAACUUAAGCAUAUCAAUAAGCGGAGGA